RNAcentral lists this long non-coding RNA (930 nucleotides) under Oryza sativa Indica Group (long-grained rice). RNAcentral describes it as "lncRNA OsKYG_04g0004230". Lineage: Eukaryota; Viridiplantae; Streptophyta; Magnoliopsida; Poales; Poaceae. The record is from RNAcentral.
AUGGCCUUGACUCUUGUGCGUGUGAAGGUCGGGCCAUGGGGUGGCACAGGGGGAUACGAAUGGGACGAAGCAAGCUAUGACGGAUACGAUGGUGGUUUUACUGGCAUCCGUAGCAUUAGUAUAGGGUCCUCCUCUACGUAUGUCAGCUCAAUGUUAUUUGAGUACGAUGACAACGGGCAACGCGUGAUGGGAAUCCAGCGUGGAAAGGAAAAACCAGAGCAAAUCCGAACGCAGGAACUGGACUUCCCGGGGGAGGUGUUGACCCACAUCAGCGGCUGCCACAACAACAACGUUAUUGUGUCGCUCCAGUUCAGGACCAACCGGAACAGGACAUUGGGAUACGGGAAAAUGGAUGCAGAAAACGAGCAAUGGAGGCGGUUCGAGGUGUCCAUGGAACAAGCGGGUUCCAUCGUCGGCUUCUUCGGCCGGAGUGGCGACCAGAUCGACGCCAUCGGCAUCUACAUUGCCGUGUGGAACCCCGACAGGUUCUUCGACGGCAUGCGCAGGCAGGGCGUCGUCACUCACCGGACGUCGUCGCCGCUUCACCUGAAGCUGCGAGAAAUGGAGAAGCGGAAGAAGCUUGAGGCGGACAGCACACACCUGCGUGAACGCAAGUCGCUGUUGGAGUCAGAAAUUAGCAGGUAUAAGGAUAAGAAAGGGGAACUACAAGCAAAACUAGACGGGUUAAAAAAUCUUGAAGUAAAACUGCUGCAGGACCAAAAGGAGCGGGAAUCACAGCUGGAGUCACCGAAGCUCCAACGCCUAUCCUCACAAAGGAAGAGAAAAGAGAAACAAGAAAGCAUCGAUCGGUUAGAACGGAACCUAGAUGUGCUGCACAAGCAGAUAGUAGAAACCCUGCAGCACACGCAAGACGCGAAACGACAACUCGAACAGGAGGAAAAAGAGCUAUGGGAACAAGAUCAGAUUAGG